UUUUGCGUUGGGUGUGGAAAAGUCCUAGGGAAAAGAAAAAGAAACCAUUGCUCUUUUAACAAAGAGAAACAAAGAGGCCACAUUCUUCUGCUGGGCAUUAUUUAACUAAGUGAGACACAUAGUCAGCACAGGUGCAUGAAGAAAGCUAGCAAGAGACAACACACAGAGGACAGCAGAGUUUAAAAGUAGAAAUUACGAGUCCUUGAUAUCACUGAGGCUAAACUUUUCCACCUU
This 234-nucleotide long non-coding RNA is filed under the name Bos taurus (domestic cattle). Its description in RNAcentral is "long non-coding RNA NONBTAT017232". Lineage: Eukaryota; Metazoa; Chordata; Mammalia; Artiodactyla; Bovidae. The record is from RNAcentral.